Molecule: long non-coding RNA, 2642 nt
Organism: Xenia sp. Carnegie-2017
Lineage: Eukaryota; Metazoa; Cnidaria; Anthozoa; Malacalcyonacea; Xeniidae
Exons: 2
Source: RefSeq, a predicted model, not a curated record
GGUACCUAAAUUUAAUAUAGGAGCACUGAUAUUUAGUAAGAAAAUAUAUUAAAAGAUUUUUAUUUGUAUUUUUUCAUUUUAUGUGACUUUGUAGAACAAACCUUGCAAAGUGGAAUCUAUCACUUCCGCAAUUUAUAAGUGGUAAAGAAGUCCUCUCGCCAGAAGAGAGAGUCAAAGUUUUACUUGUACCCCAUCCUCCUGAGCGAGUAUUGGUCGCCGAGUAUGUAAGAUUGCACCCACCAUUGUAUCAAAUAAUGUUACAUUCUUGAUUGACGCCUCUUCCUCAAAGAAGGGGAUGAUUGGAAAUGUGACGAUAUGGGAGCUUGGGAAUACAAUGGGGUGAAAAAGACUCUAUUUUGUAUUUCUGAGGGGAGGAUAAGCGAAGUAAGUCAAUGUAAAACCAAAAAAAAAUGAAGGUUUCUAUACAUUAGUGAGAAUGUAUUCUAAAAGCAAGACAUCUCCUGACAUCAAGAAGUACGAGGCAUAUCUAGAAGGUACAGGCAUUUGUAAACGUUUUGGACCCAAUUAUUAAAUGAGUUUACAAGAUCCAUAUUUUACUGGCAUUGAUUUUUGACCAUGACCAAUUUUAAUUCUUGAUUGAGGACAGAACUUAGAUUGUAAUUUUUUAUUUAUUUUGCUUGUAAAUGCUCACUUUCUUUGUUGCGACACACAUGUAGAAAACUAAGCAUUAUUAAUGGUUCAGUAUAUCUUCGAUGGGAAAGAACACGAAAUUACGCCCAGUCCUCAUAGUAACUCGCGGCAGAAACAAUCAGGUGGAUAUAUUUGGACAAAAACAAGCAUAUAAAAAAGAGUAAAAGAAGUUGCUGAAACAUCUGGACCUAGAGGAACCUUUCAUCGUGUGAGCGAAGAAAGUGGUGGUUUCUUAGGUGCCAGUGCAGCAAGUGACCUUCCCAGAAACAGAACGCAAGCCAAAAAUUGCCGAGCCAAAACAAAGCAAAUCACGAGUAUUAAAAAAGUUGACUCUCUUGCUGUUCUUCUCCAGGAGUGCAAGAGGCAGCAAUUAAGCAAAAGAAAAGAUCCUUUUAUUCGUGACGUAUCAGCUGCUCCUGAACUCAGAUGUGUUACGACGCAUCGCAAUUUGAAAGUUGUAACAAGAAGAGAAGGUCAUUAUCCUUUAAUAAUAGGGCCUCUUCUAAUUAGCCAAACCAAAACAGCCGAAUCGUAUGAUUACUUCUUUGGUAAAUUGACUUCCCUUAAUAAAAACAUAAAAAACAUUCUCGCCAUUGUGACAGAUGGGAAAGAGACUUUGAUCAGUGCCAUGAAGAACAGUAAGUGCUAUGCAUUUCAUUUACGAUGCUUUGGGCACCGUAAAUGGCUAAACCUAAAACUUUAAAUUACAGUUGAGAAAAUCAAAUGUGUCAGACACAGCACAAAAUACUUUUCUUGAUGACAUAUUUGGAAAAAGAUCAGGGGAAAUUUAUGAGAAGGGUAUGUUUGCAAAAACAUAUUAGUAAAGUGCCACGUGUUAUUACAUUGCACAUUUUAAAAUUUCUUUUAGUCUUACUAUACUCCCUCAAUGAAAGUGAAUUUCUCUCCAAUCUCAAUGCGCUGAAAGAGAUAUGGGUUGAAAGAGAACGUUGUUUUUCAGUGCAAAUCAAGAGCCAUCUUUCUUCAAAUUUAUAAACGCAGAAAGUAUGCUGACUGAAGUUCGAAGGAAUUGUGGAAUGGGAGAUCCACCCACACCAUUCUACACAAAUGUACCCGAAUCUGCCAUAAGAGCAGUGAACUUUCAAGAAAAUGACAUGUCAACAUUUGCGAUAAAAAUGCGACAACUGAUCAAGCAACAACGUGAAGAUGUAAGAGGUGCUUUACUUAAUAGCGGUCCCUACAGGCUAAUCGAGAAGCAUUUUCAUCUUCAACUCACAAAACAACAAUGGUUUGCUAAUAGCGCUGCCCAACGUAAGACUCACGAAAGAAAACUGGACCAGACCUUUUGCGUAGAGGAUAAGCAAACUAAGAUGACGAAUCUUUUUCUCUAUCCUUAUCACUAACACCCGAGGACGCUAACCUAUCGAGUGUACCAGUCCAAACUGUGGAAAGAGUUUUCAGAAAAGCUCAGAAAGUGUUAAUGUAGGAUGGAGCUAUAGUUUCAGCCACAGGAGGAAACAGUAAAUCUUUUCUCGUUUUAAGCGAAACAUCCCAAAGACCUCACUAUGUAUUCAUUGAAAAUAGUGGGAAAAUUAUUUGCGAAAUAUGUCUUAGAUGCGUCGCUGCACACUUUGCAAGAAUGCUGCUGCUAUAGCAGAAAAAAACAAAAAGCUUAAAAGAAUAUGUUGAAUGGCUAGAACGUAAACAAAAUCCCACUAACCUUACAACUCUUGUCAACUUUGACUCCAGUAAAAGUGUUGGAAAAAAGGGAAAUAAGCCAGCAACCAAGCGAAGAAAGGGAUAUAGAAAAAAGAAAGACGAUGAUGUGAUAAUGAUUGUCGAUCGAAUAAGUCAAAGUAAUUUGCAAUCACAGCAACAUCAGGUUCUUAUUUAUUAUUUUGCUGAUCUCUGAUGUUUUUAAGUUUGACUUAAAUGCAGUGCAAGCAAAAAGGUCACCUCAAAAUUAAGUUUCAAGUAAAUAUUGUUGAAAAAUAUGAACGUAUAACAUUAAAUAUACAAUUCCAAACGCUUCA